Molecule: ribosomal RNA, 491 nt
Filed under: uncultured bacterium
Lineage: Bacteria
Description: bacterial SSU rRNA
Rfam family: Bacterial small subunit ribosomal RNA
Source: RNAcentral
GAUGAACGCUAGCGGCAGGCUUAACACAUGCAAGUCGAGGGGCAGCAUGAACCGACCUUCGGGAAGGUUUGACGGCGACCGGCGCAAGGGUGCGUAACGCGUGAGCAACUUGCCCUUAUCAGGGGGAUAACCGGUGGAAACGCCGACUAAUACCCCAUGGCAUCACAAUGAGGCAUCUUUUUGUGAUUAAAGAAAUUCGGAUAAGGAUAGGCUCGCGUGACAUUAGCUAGACGGCGGGGUAACGGCCCACCGUGGCUACGAUGUCUAGGGGUUCUGAGAGGAAGGUCCCCCACACUGGAACUGAGACACGGUCCAGACUCCUACGGGAGGCAGCAGUGAGGAAUAUUGGUCAAUGGCCGGAAGGCUGAACCAGCCAAGUAGCGUGAAGGAUGAAGGUUCUAUGGAUUGUAAACUUCUUUUAUACGGGAAUAAAACCACCUACGUGUAGGUGCUUGUAUGUACCGUAUGAAUAAGCAUCGGCUAACUCCGUG